This 358-nucleotide ribosomal RNA is filed under the name uncultured bacterium. RNAcentral describes it as "bacterial SSU rRNA". It matches the Rfam family "Bacterial small subunit ribosomal RNA", at positions 29 to 416 of the family's 1533-position model. The record is from RNAcentral.
AGCGAACGCUGGCGGCAGGCUUAACACAUGCAAGUCGAACGAUCCUUCGGGAUAGUGGCGGACGGGUGAGUAACACGUGGGAACGUGCCCUUAGGUUCGGAACAACACAGGGAAACUUGUGCUAAUACCGGAUAAGCCCUUACGGGGAAAGAUUUAUCGCCUUUGGAGCGGCCCGCGUCUGAUUAGCUUGUUGGUGAGGUAAAGGCUCACCAAGGCUACGAUCAGUAGCUGGUCUGAGAGGAUGGCCAGCCACAUUGGGACUGAGACACGGCCCAAACUCCUACGGGAGGCAGCAGUGGGGAAUCUUGCGCAAUGGGCGAAAGCCUGACGCAGCGACGCCGCGUGUGGGAUGACGGCC